Molecule: ribosomal RNA, 499 nt
Filed under: uncultured bacterium
Lineage: Bacteria
Description: partial 16S ribosomal RNA
Rfam family: Bacterial small subunit ribosomal RNA
Source: RNAcentral
ACUCAAAGGAAUUGACGGGGGCCCGCACAAGCGGUGGAGCAUGUGGUUUAAUUCGAUGCAACGCGAAGAACCUUACCUGGUCUUGACAUCCUUGGGAGCCUGCAGAGAUGUGGGUGUGCCUUCGGGAACCGAGAGACAGGUGCUGCAUGGCUGUCGUCAGCUCGUGUCGUGAGAUGUUGGGUUAAGUCCCGUAACGAGCGCAACCCUUGUUCCUAGUUGCCAUCGAGUGAAGUUGGGCACUCUAGGGAGACUGCCGGUGAGAAGCUGGAGGAAGGUGGGGAUGAGGUCAAGUCAUCAUGGCCCUUAUGACCAGGGCUACACACGUGCUACAAUGGGCUGUACAGAGGGGAGCGAACCUGCAAGGGGGAGCGAAUCUUAUAAAGCAGUUCGUAGUUCGGAUUGGAGUCUGCAACUCGACUCCAUGAAGUUGGAAUCGCUAGUAAUCGCGGAUCAGCAUGCCGCGGUGAAUACGUUCUCGGGCCUUGUACACACCGCCCGU